CCUACGGGGGGCAGCAGUAGGGAAUCUUCCACAAUGGGCGAAAGCCUGAUGGAGCAGCGCCGCGUGGGUGAAGAAGGUCUUCGGAUCGUAAAACCCUGUUGUUAGAGAAGAAGGUGCGUGAGAGUAACUGUUCACGUUUCGACGGUAUCUAACCAGAAAGCCACGGCUAACUACGUGCCAGCAGCCGCGGUAAUACGUAGGGGGCGAGCGUUGUCCGGAAUGACUGGGCGUAAAGGGAGUGUAGGCGGCAAUAUAAGUUAGAUGUGAAAUCCCGCGGCUCAACCGCGGAACUGCAUCUAAAACUA
This 305-nucleotide ribosomal RNA is filed under the name uncultured bacterium. RNAcentral's name for it is "bacterial SSU rRNA". It matches the Rfam family "Bacterial small subunit ribosomal RNA", at positions 338 to 635 of the family's 1533-position model. The record is from RNAcentral.